This is a long non-coding RNA of Monodelphis domestica (gray short-tailed opossum), 1178 nucleotides long. RefSeq lists it as uncharacterized. NCBI's taxonomy places the organism in Eukaryota, Metazoa, Chordata, Mammalia, Didelphimorphia, Didelphidae. The record is from RefSeq and is a predicted model, not a curated record.
GCCGAAAAAGUAGAGAAGAAAGAGGUCACUGGAUGCUGUUUUAGGAAGGAAGAUCAUUUCAUAGUGAAAAGUUGCUCAAGAAAGGCUACUCUAGAAGAAAACAGACUUCUGUGAGCGAUCCAAGCAGAAAUGACUGCUUUAAGAACUGAAUCAAGUAAUUGAGGACAAGUGGUUUUUGAUCAUUUAGAUGCUGAGAUUUUUGGUUGCUUAAAACUAGGGAAUGGGACUUCCCAGGCUAUUUGUUUGUGCUUUGCUCCACUUAUUUGUCUCUCAGAAGAGGAUGACCUUAGACCUUCAGGAUGUUCUUUCCCAGGUAGUCUUAGGACUAGAAGCCUCUGGAAACUCUGGCCUAAUAUACAAAUCAUGGAACCGAAAGAAUGACAGGUUCCUAGAAGAUCUAGAAUGGCCAUAUAACCAUGUUUUCAGUUUGUUCAGACUGGCAUCAUCAGUGAAAAUUCAUCAAUAAGAAUUACUAGAAGGAUCAAGCUAACCAGGACACGUUGGGAUUUAACAUGUGCUUUGGAUUGCUGCCUGAAAGUGGUGCCUAAAAGCUGUUUUCUCAGAGGAGUAGGGAAGUUGUUUUCCAUCUUGGUGUCUCCUCAGCUGGAGGAAUGAAGGUUCUUUGUGUCAUUGUGACUUCUCCUGGCCAGUGCUUAUUGCAAGAACUUUGAGUUGCCUCUGACACAUCUCCUUCUGAGAAGCCCUAUGCAUUGCUUCUCAGACAGAUUUCAGCCUUGGAUCGUCUCUUUGGAUUCUGCUUUUUCAUCACCAGCAAAGUAGCCAAGCAUAUGCAUGGUCUCUCCCAUACCUUCACCCACUGAAACUGGAACCAUAAGGAAAAGACCUCAGAAAAGAAGUAAAAGUGAGCUUUCCUAAAUCAGCCUGUUGAUGAGAUAGUCUGCCUCCUCAGUGAUACCCUAAAUUCUUAAGGGCUGGUCUGUCUUCUUUGACACCUAACCUAACAAAUAUUUGUAAUAUGGAGUUGAAGGACACUUUUUCUGGCUGAAAAUUCUGAUUUUUUUUUAUUCAUGCUUUAUGUCCAGAAUCUAGACUUGAAUGAGUCUGUUAUAUUGCAGCCUAUCUGGUAUUGUCUUAGGGGGAUCUUUGCCCAAGUAGAAGUGGCCAUGGUCUUGUCUAGAUUAAUCCCCAAUUCAUAAUAAACCAAUCUGUUCCCACUG